CUCUUUCAAUUCCUUUCAUCUUACCCAUUCAAUUCCCCCUUCUUCCUCAUUCAACUUCUUCUUCAUUCAAGUUCAACGCUGCUUCACCCACUCAACCCAUCGGUUAUGAUAAACCUGCUUAGUCUACAGGUGCAUUUGAGCAAAGGCAACCAAACCUAGUAGAGCAACAGCUUCCAUCACGAGCCAAUCACCAAAUCUAGCUGACCUUUUUUGGAAUUUUUUUGUAGAUUUGAUUUUUUUUUAUUAUUUUUAACUUUGUUUAUUGAUUGUUAUUUGGGGCUGAACUAACACGGAUUAGUUUAUUUG
Molecule: long non-coding RNA, 306 nt
Organism: Helianthus annuus (common sunflower)
Lineage: Eukaryota; Viridiplantae; Streptophyta; Magnoliopsida; Asterales; Asteraceae
Exons: 2
Source: RefSeq, a predicted model, not a curated record